ACAAUUCUCUCUAUCUCCAAAUCCUACGGUAAAGGUUUCAAACUCGAACCUCGCAUAAACACAGAAAACAAUACCUUAGUAGCAUUGUUCAAUGCAGAACAGGGUAAAAACAAAAAUCAAAACAUGUCGCAUAAACAUAAGUUAACAGAACAAUCAAUGUUAAAAUACUAAAAAUAAAAAAUAAAAAACUAAAACAAAACAUGUCGCACAAUAUGCCUUGUUG
This 223-nucleotide long non-coding RNA is filed under the name Lathyrus oleraceus (garden pea). RNAcentral describes it as "Pisum sativum (pea) long non-coding RNA (PSAT_LNC007530)". The record is from RNAcentral. Lineage: Eukaryota; Viridiplantae; Streptophyta; Magnoliopsida; Fabales; Fabaceae.